AAAUGACCUGGCUCACCUGCCAGUAUGGGCAAUCUGUUAAAGCAAACAAAUACAGAAUCCUGAUUAUUUCACUAACUAUGAAGAUUUGCAUCACGUUCUUCAGUAAUUGUUCUCAAUUUUGCUUUUCAGGGCUGAUGGCCCCACGAAACAGAAUUGUUCCAGGGACGAAGCCUUUGAUGGAUUGGCUGCUCUGCUGGCUGCUUUGGUGCUGGAAAGAUAGAUGUCACCAAGUCCUCCGGCACCCUUCAUCCUCUGAUGAGGAAAUCAGGUGAAGACACCAGAAUAUCUAUCGGUGAUGGAACCUAUAAGGGGUGGAUGAAGGACAGCUAGCAAGAGAGGGAUUAGGAAAGGACUCCUAGAAUUCUGAAUGAAGAGGAGCCAGCAGCAUUUGUAAAGCAAAGGAAGAGUGUUUCCAGCCACAGGAAGAGGCAAGACAGAGACUCAGAGAUGCAGAGGUUAUUAUUAAAAAAUAAUAAUAAAUUAAAAAAAAAAGCUGCA
Molecule: long non-coding RNA, 498 nt
Filed under: Mus spicilegus (steppe mouse)
Lineage: Eukaryota; Metazoa; Chordata; Mammalia; Rodentia; Muridae
Description: lncRNA (ENSMSIG00000005823.1)
Source: RNAcentral